CCUACGGGAGGCAGCAGUGGGGAAUAUUGGACAAUGGGCGCAAGCCUGAUCCAGCCAUACCGCGUGGGUGAAGAAGGCCUUCGGGUUGUAAAGCCCUUUUGUUGGGAAAGAAAUCUUGCCGGUUAAUACCUGGCGAGGAUGACGGUACCCAAAGAAUAAGCACCGGCUAACUUCGUGCCAGCAGCCGCGGUAAUACGAAGGGUGCAAGCGUUACUCGGAAUUACUGGGCGUAAAGCGUGCGUAGGUGGUGGUUUAAGUCUGCUGUGAAAGCCCUGGGCUCAACCUGGGAAUUGCAGUGGAUACUGGGUCACUAGAGUGUGGUAGAGGGAUGCGGAAUUUCCGGUGUAGCAGUGAAAUGCGUAGAGAUCGGAAGGAACAUCCGUGGCGAAGGCGGCAUCCUGGGCCAACACUGACACUGAGGCACGAAAGCGUGGGGAGCAAACAGGAUUAGAUACCCUGGUAGUCCACGCCCUAAACGAUGCGAACUGGAUGUUGGGUGCAACUUGGCACCCAGUAUCGAAGCUAACGCGUUAAGUUCGCC
RNAcentral lists this ribosomal RNA (541 nucleotides) under uncultured Pseudoxanthomonas sp. RNAcentral describes it as "bacterial SSU rRNA". It matches the Rfam family "Bacterial small subunit ribosomal RNA", at positions 338 to 870 of the family's 1533-position model. Lineage: Bacteria; Pseudomonadati; Pseudomonadota; Gammaproteobacteria; Lysobacterales; Lysobacteraceae. The record is from RNAcentral.